CUUUUUUUUUUUUUUUUUGGGUAAAAGAAAAAAUAAGUGUGCUUGAUGUCAAGUGUGACCUUAGUUUGUUUUAUGAUAUUUGUGUGCACAAAGAGCAAGGUACAACCUGACUUGGGUUUAAACUUUUUUUCCCUUCCUCUGGGUGGGGGGGCUCUUACCUAUUUUUUUGGGAGUUCACUUAUAUAGAAAAUGACUUUGAAAAUCACGACAACCAUGAGUUAAUUUGUAUUUGUUAUACAAGUCGUAUGUCGUUUGGAAUAAAAUUUUCUUAUUUUUAUGUCCAAUGGAUUAUUUUUGCACACUAUUAUAUACCAAAAUAGAGAUCUGAUAUUGUCUGCCUAGAGCAGAUAGUAGUCUAAUAAAGUCUUUCUGUAAUUUACAAAAUAAACAAAUCACGAUUACUUUGAGUUAUUUUACAAGUCUAUCAAAGAUUAUCUAACUUUGUUUUGCAUUACUUGAGAAAAACAAUGGAAUGGAGUUUGCUUCUGUUGAUUCUUGAACAAGUCCUUCUCCAAAAACUAAAGAUAAGGCUCUGCUAAAAAGAAUAAAAAUAAAGAAGGUAAGGUCCUAAUGUUGAAAUGAGUGAAGAUGUGGACAAAGUACCGACUUAAAGGCGGUUCUUCUCUUGACAAUAAUAUACGAACACUAUCACAAUGACCUUGUGAAGAAAGUGGAGCUACAGUUUCUUCACCAGGUCAUUGUCAAGUGAAGAUGGUGUUCGUAUAUAUAGAUCCUGCAUAGUGUCCGAAGAUUAGUUAAGUGAUAAUAUGGUAGAAUUAGAGCUCAUACGAAUAUCGUCUUCACUUUCUUCAGCAGGUCAUUGUCGAGUGAAGGUGGUGUUCGCAUGGGUCCUUCCUGCGUAUUGUUCGAAGAUUAGUUAAGUAGUGUUGUGGUAGAAUAUUAGAAGAGUGGGGCUCCAAAAUAGGUGAUCAUAUGGUUUUAUUUAUUCGAACACCAUCACAAUGACCUUGUGAAGAAAGUGGAGCUGGUGUGCUGGAGCUACAGUUUCUUCACCAGGUCAUUGUCAAGUGAAGAUGGUGUUCGUAUAUAUAGAUCCUGCAUAUAUAGUGUCCGAAGAUUAGUUAAGUGAUAAUACGGCAGAAUUAGAGCUCAUACGAAUAUCGUCUUCACUUUCUUCACCAGGUCAUUGUCGAGUGAAGGUGGUGUUCGCAUGGGUCCUUCCUGCGUAUUCUCAGAAGAUUAGUUAAGUAGUGUUGUGGUAGAAUAUUAGACGGUUGGGGCUCCAAAAUUGGCAUUCACUUGAUAAUGACCUGGUGAAGAAAGUCAAGACGAUCUGCGCUCAAAAGAUCAUUCACUUUCUUCACCAUGUCAUUGUCAAGUGAAGGUGGUGUCUGCGUAUUGUUAGAAGAUUAGCUAAAUAGUAAUGUGGUAGAAGUAGAAUAGACUAGAAGAGUGGGGCUCCAAAAUUGGCAUUCACAGGAGUGUCUUGUCAUUGGAUAUUCUAGAAAUUAAUAUGCAUGGCUACAUGUUUUGUUUUAUAGAUUCACACUUACAGGUGCCUGAAUGCAAUUGGCAGUCUUAAAUUUGAGAACAAGUCAUCGUUGCGAUGCAGUCUUUCACCUAAAACGUUCCGUCGUUUAGUUCAGCACAGGCUGCACAGCAGCAGUGUGUAAUUUUCUCCAGUCCUAGUGUCUGUGGCGCCCACCGGGCCACCACCCUUUCCGUGGGAACGCACCUACAAGGCAAAGAGUCUAUGUAUAUGCUUGUCCGACGAUAUAAAUAGAGGCGCAACACAACAGAGGUGGCAAACCCAUUGAGAAUUUUUCUUCCGGAGAAUUACCAGUCUCAGAAAUGUGGGGAGAACUCAGGCUUGCAGCUAUCAACUUCAUCUUGACCUUGAAGAAUUUCGCUGAGGGUCAGGGCUUCCCGGCAUGGAAAUGGUGGGAGUCUCGAAACGGGGGCGCCCAACAGUCGCCAACCAUGGAACUCCAACUCCAACCUAGUGCAGCAUCUCAACUUGAGGAGCAGCCGUCCCUGCCUACCUUCCGGCAACCAAAUAAUAAUGGCGAUGAUCAGAACCCCAACUUCGUCGACUAUGUGAUGAAGAUGCAGUGGGCGUUUCUGGUCAUUGGAGUUUGUAUUGCAGCCUUUAGCGCCGCCUUGCAAGCUCUCAAAACCCCUGCACCUAUCCCUCCAACCUUUCACUGGUGUUGCAUGCUUCUGGAGCUGGCCGUUCUUGCUUUGUUGGUCUCCGUUUACGUCUGCCGCCGUUACGAGACGGCAUCUCUUGUCAUGGCACAUGUUGCAAUUUUCUUGGGCGCCACUGCAUUCGUGCUGGCCAUUGGAGUGACUUUUCCGGCUCCGCUCACUGGGAUAUCCAUCGCACUCUACUUCGUUGCAAUCCUCGCAAUCAUCUUUGCAAAUCGUUGAAUCUCCUGCUCAGGUAUUUGUUUAUUAACUUUUUUCUUUUUCUUUUUGGCAUUUUUCAGCAUAUUUUGAUUUUUGUUUUGCUAUAUACAUAUCUACCUGGCUGAAACAGGGCUUGCCAGGACGUACUACUGUGUUAUUCUCUGAAAUGCUCGAACAUCUUCGCUGAUUUGAUGAUACCAAAAUUCUCCUAAAAGUUAAGCUCAUGCUUCUUCGCUUUGUCUUUUCAUUUGUGUGUGUGUUUUUGGAAGGAUUGUUAUCCAUGUAUUUUACGAAUGCGUGUAAACAGGCCAAACAGACAAGAUGUUGUUGUUGUCGGAAAUAUGCAAGUCACGUACUUCAUUUGCCGACUAGUCCAGUUGUUAAAUUCUCAAGGAUGUUUUAUGAUUUCCAUGUUCGUACUGUUCCAUUCUUGGAAUGUGAACAUCAUGCUAUAAUUGAAUUUCUGGUUAUAUAUAAGUGGAUCUUUUCCUGUUCUGAAGACUGUGAAACCUAUUAUUUAUUGGAUUGACGGCACUGAAUUAUUUAUUUCACAAAAAAGAAAAAGACAGAACAGAAAAUUCGAGUGUCAAUAUAUAGAGGUUUUAAUUUCUGCACCUGAUGAUUGGUUUUAUUGCAGUGCAUGCAACGAAGGAAGAAAGGAUGUGGAUAAGAAAUUAGGAAUAAUUAGAAUUGUUAACCAUAAUCCAACAUAAAAAAAAAAAAAAAAAAGAAGAAGAAGAAGCAGAAGCCAUGAUUGACUUUUUAUUCUCUUUAAGAAAUAAAGAGAUCCCUUCAAGGAAACUUGAAUUCAACAUCGAAGUUGAAAUUCCACAAAUCUUGUGCCAUAAAGACUUAAUUAAUGGUAGGGCAAGAAUGCACUGGAUGUACAAAUCAGAACCCAGGUAUAAUUAAAAUCUUGGUCUUCUAUCAUAGAGCUUCUGAUGAAGUAAUUAAGCACAGGAAAGUACUGAUAUGCUAGCUUUUUUCCUUCUAAUAUCUCCUGCAAAUUAGAGCUUCAAGAUAAUAUAUAAUAGUUCAAUAGCAUAAAAGUGCCAUUCAUACCCUGUGAUAACCGAUGAUGCAGUGCUGCCAUAAUGCUUGCUCAAGAGUACAAGUAAGAAAGCAAAAUGGCUCCUCCUCACAGAUAAAAGAAUACUGAUGCAUUAUCUGGUAUCAUGAUUCAUUACAAACAUACAAUGCAAUGCCACCCCAAAAUGUAACACGCUGAUUACUUUUCUGUCGUGAUUUAACCAAGCCUAUUUGACUGACAUCAAGGUAAACUGUAGUGUCUUCCACCACUAAAGAGUAACCUGAUAUCCAAAUUGUGUUGUAUUACAUAGAGAACAGACAAGCCUAGAAAAUAGUUGAUAUGAUGACUUCCUGAAAGAAAGC
This 3762-nucleotide long non-coding RNA is filed under the name Coffea arabica (coffee). Its description in RNAcentral is "long non-coding RNA (CARA_LNC003143)". Lineage: Eukaryota; Viridiplantae; Streptophyta; Magnoliopsida; Gentianales; Rubiaceae. The record is from RNAcentral.